This is an RNA transcript of Neogale vison (American mink), 1626 nucleotides long. It is a transcript of the gene named metallo-beta-lactamase domain-containing protein 1, with no coding region annotated. Lineage: Eukaryota; Metazoa; Chordata; Mammalia; Carnivora; Mustelidae. The transcript has 3 exons. The record is from RefSeq and is a predicted model, not a curated record.
UUUUCCGGGGGGCGGAGCUAACCUGGCAGGGAGGGAAGGAUUAGGAGAAGCGGUGACACUAGGUCCAAGGCGGGAAGCGCCUCGGUUAGAUUGAGGGAAAUAAAGAGGAUGUCCUUUGUGGGAUGAUGGGUGAGGACCUACCACAAGAGAAGCGUGGCGAAGGCCGAAAACCGAGGGACUGGCGGGGUUCGCGCUAAGGGAAGCUUGGACGAGACCAUCUACGGAUAGGGGGUUAGGGCGAUACCAUCUUGAGGGAGUUAGGGGGUGGCAAAGAACAGCCGUGGAAGGUGCUACUUGGAGGAGGCGGGGCGCACGUGGGAACCCAAAGAGACUGGGCCGUCGCCCACGUCCGCACUUCCCUUCCCCAGCCGUCCCGAUCCUGCCAUGAGCGCUGCGGUGCGGACCGAGCCGCUGCGCGGGGAGCCGCCUCUGCUGGUGCGCGGCGACCCCUACUCGGUGGUGGUCCUGCUUCAGGGCUACGCGGAGCCGGAGGGGGUCGACGACGCGGUACGCGCCGACGGCUCCGUGACGCUUGUGCUGCCUCAGGCCUGGGGCUCAGCCACCAGCCUCCAAGAGUCCCCGCCCCACAGCGGCGGGGCGAAGACCGCCCUGGAAGAGGCGGCCCGUGGCCCCAUCCUCGUGGACACUGGGGGCCCCUGGGCUCGGGAGGCGCUCCUGGGGGCCCUGGCGGGGCAGGGCGUGGCCCCUGGAGACGUGACGCUGGUGGUGGGCACCCACGGACACUCGGAUCACAUCGGGAACCUGGGGCUUUUUCCUGGGGCGGCUCUGCUGGUCUCGCACGACUUCUGCCUGCCCGGAGGCCGCUACCUCCCCCACGGGCUAGGUGAGGAGCGGCCCCUGCAGCUGGGCCCCGGGCUCGAGGUGUGGGCCACGCCGGGCCAUGGGGGCCAGCGGGACGUGAGCGUGGUGGUGGCGGGCACGGCCCUGGGCACCGUGGUGGUGGCAGGCGACGUGUUUGAACGCAGCGGAGACGAAGACUCAUGGCAAGCGCUGAGCGAAGACCCGGUGGCCCAGGAGCGGAGCCGGAAGAGGGUCCUAGAUACUGCGGACGUAGUCGUGCCUGGUCACGGAGCCCCCUUUAGGGUGGUCAGAGAAGCCCCUCAGCCACGGAACUGAUGUCCAGAAGACCAGAGAAAUGAUGGCUGGAGUCCGAGCAGCCAUCUUGGAUCAUGAGGCAACCUUUGGGACAGAAGCCAGUAGCCAGGACAGUGAGCAGGAAGCUAGAAGCCUGAGUGCCCGAGGACAGUGGCCUCUGCCAUCCUCCUCCCUCCUCCUUUUCUGUGAGGGGAAACAAGGAACUCUGUCUAAGUGACUGUCACAGCUCUUCCUCUCCGACCCUCAGCCUCAUUCUAGAGACAGCCGUUGUGACUUUUCCUCUGCAGAAUAAAAAACAAUUUGUGUAUGUUGAGUUUGUCAACACUUUUCAUCAUGGCUUUUUGGUUUUAUGUCAUACAUAGGGAGGCCAUCUCCACUUCAUGGACAUGAGAUGGUCUCACGUGCUUUCCUCGAGUACUAGGGUUACUCCCCUCCCGCCCCAUUUAACUCCUUGGUUGAUCUGUGAAGUUAUUUUGGUGCAAAUUAUGAGAUAAUAUUAUUUUCCCCAGA